GGAGAGUAGGCAAAUAUUGGUUUGUUGCGCUUGUCUGCUAAACAAGUCCGCUAAUAGCGGUGAAGGUUCAAUUCCUUUGCUCUCCG
RNAcentral lists this transfer RNA (86 nucleotides) under Winogradskyella sp. PG-2. RNAcentral's name for it is "tRNA-Ser (GCT) (tRNA-Ser-GCT-2-1)". It matches the Rfam family "tRNA". Rfam says of the family: Transfer RNA (tRNA) molecules are approximately 80 nucleotides in length. Their secondary structure includes four short double-helical elements and three loops (D, anti-codon, and T loops). Further hydrogen bonds mediate the characteristic L-shaped molecular structure. tRNAs have two regions of fundamental functional importance: the anti-codon, which is responsible for specific mRNA codon recognition, and the 3' end, to which the tRNAs corresponding amino acid is attached (by aminoacyl-tRNA synthetases). tRNAs cope with the degeneracy of the genetic code in two manners: having more than one tRNA (with a specific anti-codon) for a particular amino acid; and 'wobble' base-pairing, i.e. permitting non-standard base-pairing at the 3rd anti-codon position. Lineage: Bacteria; Pseudomonadati; Bacteroidota; Flavobacteriia; Flavobacteriales; Flavobacteriaceae. The record is from Rfam by way of RNAcentral.